RNAcentral lists this transfer RNA (76 nucleotides) under Marmoricola endophyticus. RNAcentral's name for it is "tRNA-Met". It matches the Rfam family "tRNA". Rfam says of the family: Transfer RNA (tRNA) molecules are approximately 80 nucleotides in length. Their secondary structure includes four short double-helical elements and three loops (D, anti-codon, and T loops). The record is from RNAcentral. Lineage: Bacteria; Bacillati; Actinomycetota; Actinomycetes; Propionibacteriales; Nocardioidaceae.
GGCGGGGUAGCUCAGGCGGUUAGAGCGCACGACUCAUAAUCGUGAGGUCGCGGGUUCGAACCCCGCCCCCGCUACC